GCGUCAGUAGUGCAACGGCUUAGAGCGCGUGCUCUCAGAUAGGGUGAGAUAUGGGUUCGAGUCCCGCCUGACGCG
Parelaphostrongylus tenuis is the source of this 75-nucleotide non-coding RNA. The record is from the annotation of a GenBank genome assembly. NCBI's taxonomy places the organism in Eukaryota, Metazoa, Nematoda, Chromadorea, Rhabditida, Metastrongylidae.